GUUGUUUUUGGAAGAGAAAAUUAUUUCGAAUUUAAGAAGAUGAAUAUUGCUAUUCUUUCAAGGUACUCAAGUAAAUGGAGAUUCAAAACAGAAUAUGUGAAUUAUAAAAGUGAAGGGAUCGUUGUCGCUGAAUUAGUAAAUUAUUUGAGGUUGAUUUCAUCAAUUGCCACAAAAUUAAACAUUGAUGAAGCUCGAAAAAUUAUUAAUGUACGUUAUGUUGUCGACGAUAAUGAUUUACCUUUUCAUAUCCGUAAUGAUAAUAACGUUUGGUUGUAUGCCGAGUUGAAGAAAACUCAACCAACGUUCGUGAUGUAUCCGUUGUGCAUUUCAACUACCGAUAAAUGUCAAGAAGACAUAGAGUUCGAUAGAGAAACAAGAGCUGUUGUUUGCCUGGAAGGUGUUGAAUCUGAUGCUAUGACUCUCGCUGUUGCGGAGACACAAAAUUAAUAUGCUUUGUAUGUCUCGAAGGUUGAAAUAGAUAACUUGAUAUGCGAUAGAAAGAGUAUUGAUGUGAAGGUGAAACAAAUGUAUAAGGAUAAAAAGACGCUCGUUUCAGUGAUAUCGAAUAUAUGGUGACUAAUGAAUUCAAUGUCAAGGUAAAACGAUCAGACAAAAAAGCUAUGUCCUCCGAUGUUACAAUGAGGAAUGUAAGUGGACGUUGGAAGCAUCUAGUUACAAAAAAAUAGAUAUUUUUAUAAUUCGGAGAUUUAAACCAGAAUAUACAUGCGCUUUGAGGGAUAAGGUACUGCAGAAUAUUUUGGCGACUACUUUUUUUGUCUGUGAAUUCACGGCUCCUAAAUUAGUUAACCAUAAGAGAAGGCACACACCCGGGGAAAUCAUCAAAGAAAUGAAAGAUGUAUAUAAUGUGGAUAUAAAUUAUAUGAAGGCAUGGCGUGCAAAGGAGCGUGCCAUAGUGAUGCUUAGGGACGGUCUUGCCGAUGGUUAUAGACAGAUGCCAAGAUACAUUUAUAUGUUAAAAAAUGUAUAUCCUAAUUCACACAUUGCAAUGCACAAGUCAUAGAAUAAUCAGUUCAUGUAUCUCUUUAUAGUGUUGCAUCCCAUGAUAAGAGAUUUUGAGUAUUGCAGACCUAUUAUUGUUGUUGAUGGUGCGCAUUUAAGUGGACCAUAUCAAGGGACUUUCCUCUCAGUAAGUACUCUUGAUGGUGCAGGUAUGUAAAAAGUUAACAUAUAAUGUUAUAUUUUUUUAACAUACAUUGUAUUUCAUAUAAAUAGCUAGUUAAGUGUUUGAAAAAACAGUUUUAACAAUUUUUUGUAUUUUUUCAAAAAAAAAAAAAUCUUUGUGUUUUUUUACUAAUAUGAUUUAUACGUAACGUAGGAUGCAUAUUACCGCUUGCGUAUGGGGUUGUGGAUAGUGGUAAUGACAAUUCAUGGACAUGGUUUUUCAAUCAGUUCAAAAUUGCAUUUGGUGAACGUGAAAAUAUGUGUGUUGUAUCUGAUAGGAUCGAAACUAUUAUCAAAGCUAUCAGUGUUGUAUACCCAAAUGUCCCACAUUUUGCAUGCAUUUGAUAUCUCUGAAAAAAUAUUUGUAGUUACUUUCGUAAGAGUAAAAAAAGUAUCAGUGAUUUGUAUUAUUCAAUGGUUAAAGCUUAUAGAAAAGAUGAUUUUGACUAUUUAAUGGCAAAGAAUGAAAAAGCUGACCUGAGAGUGAAAAAUAUUUACAAGAAGUUGGAUAUGAAAAGUAGAGUAGAUGUUAUUCACCAGUAAACAGAGGUCGGAUGAUGACCUCGAAUAUUGCUGAGUGUAUUAAUGAGUGUUUGGUAGAGGCUCGAGAAUUGCCAAUAUAUGAGUUUUUAGAAGAGGUUCGAAUGUUAUUCUUGGAACUGGAAGAACAGUGAAAUAGCUUCUUAUACAAGUAUGUCUUUGGGUCAUCGAUUUGAAGAAAUUUUAACUCUCAACGGUAUGGAAGCUUUGAAAAAUGAUGGUAUGUAUAAAAUUGUAAUUUUUUAAUUGUGCAUUUAUAUGUAGUAUUUGUUUGACUGAAAAGAAGUGUAUUUAAACUUAUUUUUCUAGAAAAAAAAUCUGUGGUUGUAUUUUGUUUUUAAUUGUUCAGGUGAAGACUUCUUCAACCUAUAUAUAUUCGGUUUAUGAAUCUGGGAGAAGAUACAUUGUUAACCUUGAAAGUGUCUCAUGCAACUGUGAGAGGAUCCAAAUAGAUCAAAUACUUUGUGAUUGCUAUAACUGUCUUAAAGUCUAAACAUGUAAAAGAUUUUGAACCAUACUAUUCAGAAUACUACAAGCGAAACACAUUGAUGAAGACAUAUGAAGUUCCAGUCAUUUCGAUGCCAGCUAAGAAAGACUGGGGUGUUCCCAAAAGUGUAGAUGAGGAAGAGUGUUGCCACCGAUAUACAAAAGACUUUCAAAAAGGCUGAAGAAAGGGCGGAAGAAGAAAUCCAGCGAAACAUUUUCGUCAAGCACAAACCGUUGUGAACGAUGCGGCCAUAAAGGGCACAAUAGGUGUUCAUGUAAUUUUUUCCCGAAGGAGAACUGAUUAAUUAUUUUGCUAUACUCCUGAAAAGUAAUCACUGAUUUUUUGUUAUCAUUUAUUUAGGAAUUACUUCACUGAUAUGUUUCAGUUUCUUAUUUUUGCGUCGAAAUAAAUUUUAGUUUAAUUUGA
Long non-coding RNA from Capsicum annuum, 2635 nucleotides. RefSeq lists it as uncharacterized. The transcript is spliced from 2 exons. The record is from RefSeq and is a predicted model, not a curated record. NCBI's taxonomy places the organism in Eukaryota, Viridiplantae, Streptophyta, Magnoliopsida, Solanales, Solanaceae.